Molecule: ribosomal RNA, 253 nt
Filed under: uncultured bacterium
Lineage: Bacteria
Description: partial 16S ribosomal RNA
Rfam family: Bacterial small subunit ribosomal RNA
Source: RNAcentral
UACGUAGGGUGCGAGCGUUGUCCGGAAUUAUUGGGCGUAAAGAGCUUGUAGGCGGUUUGUCGCGUCUGCCGUGAAAUCCCGGGGCUCAACCCCGGAACUGCACUGGAUACUGCCAUGCUUGAGUACUGGAGAGGAGAUUGGAAUUUACGGUGUAGCGGUGAAAUGCGCAGAUAUCAGGAGGAACACCGAUGGCGAAGGCAGGUCACUGGGCCGCAACUGACGCUGAGGAGCGAAAGCAUGGGGAGCGAACAGG